GACGAACGCUGGCGGCGUGCUUAACACAUGCCAGUCGAACGGAAAGGCCCUGCUUGCAGGGUACUCGAGUGGCGAACGGGUGAGUAACACGUGGGUGAUCUGCCCUGCACUUCGGGAUAAGCCUGGGAAACUGGGUCUAAUACCGGAUAUGACCUUCCAUGUAGUGUGGGGGGUGGAAAGAUUUAUCGGUGUGGGAUGAGCCCGCGGCCUAUCAGCUUGUUGGUGGGGUAAUGGCCUACCAAGGCGUCGACGGGUAGCCGGCCUGAGAGGGUGGACGGCCACAUUGGGACUGAGAUACGGCCCAGACUCCUACGGGAGGCAGCAGUGGGGAAUAUUACACAAUGGGCGGAAGCCUUAUGCAGCGACGCCGCGUGGGGGAUGACGGCCUUCGGGUUGUAAACCUCUUUCGACAGGGACGAAGCUUCGGUGACGGUACCUGUAUAAGAAGCACCGGCUAACUACGUG
This 465-nucleotide ribosomal RNA is filed under the name uncultured bacterium. RNAcentral describes it as "partial 16S ribosomal RNA". It matches the Rfam family "Bacterial small subunit ribosomal RNA", at positions 28 to 507 of the family's 1533-position model. The record is from RNAcentral.